This 6306-nucleotide long non-coding RNA is filed under the name Apis mellifera (honey bee). RNAcentral's name for it is "uncharacterized LOC100576445". Lineage: Eukaryota; Metazoa; Arthropoda; Insecta; Hymenoptera; Apidae. The record is from RNAcentral.
AUGACUUCUUAUUCAAGAAGCUCUUGAAUAAUUCUCCCAAAAUAUCGAGUACACCCAAUCAACUUGAUAAUUCGAGAGUUAGCACGAUGAUGGUAUAGGUCAACAAAGUAAGUAGACUCUAGGGGAAAGAGGCCUCAUGCUUAUAAAUUGUUGCUCGUUCACGAUAUGUCCCUAGCUAAUUAAUAAUGCAACUCAAAGUCUGUGUACCAUGUUGUACCAUGGUGCUAUUAUAGAUUGAAAGGAUGCUAUCUAGUUCCACAGUGUUGAAACUGCGACUAAUGUGAUUAUAAGGUGCAUCAACUUGACAUAACUGCGUGACUUUCAUCCCUCCCCUUUCUAUUUCCUGCCGCUAAAAGUUUACUUUAUACAUUGUUUUUCAAUAUAAAACUACACCAUCACAUUUAUCUUAUUUCUAACAAUCUUUAAUUUUACAGAACGAUUCUCUCCUCGAUGGAUUCCAAGAAUACGAUACUAUUUUCGCAGUUGGGGAAAAUGAAAAUCACUCUUUCGCCAACUGGACUGAUAUAAUCAUUAUCAAUCACGAUUAUUAUCACAGAUAACUGGAUAUUCACAAAUCAAUAAUCAAACAUACAGUCAUGACGCGACACUGAUUUUCCAAUCCGUGCUAACGAAUCACGUUGUCCCACUUUUCAUGGUUAAAAGUCUAUUUUAUGCAUCCCCAUUCCGGAUCCAUCUGAUGGUAUCUAACAAACAUCCGAGUUUCGAACGAGCGUGUCCCUCGAUUCGAUCCCCCCUGCGUGUUCACAAUGUCCAAUUUGUCCGCCCCUUUUUAUCAUUUCCCCGUUACCACUCUAAUCCUCCACCUGUACCGUUUUUCAGCGGAUCCCUUGAUCGGUGAAUCGCGGUAUCAGAUGGGCGGGGGACACAUUAGUUAGCGGUAACAAGCGCGGCGAACAACUGCGUUACAACAUAGCCAGGCCGUGUUCUACACAACCAUAAAAUACGUGUCACAACCGUGCCACCGUGUAAGCCUGUUCCUAACCUCUCCGCCUGCACACGUGGCCGCGAACAAAUAACGGGAGAACUCGUUUAUUAUUCCGCGAACGAUGCGAAAAAUCAUCCCUUUUUUUCUUCCCUUCCCUCCCUUGAAAUGUUUCCUUUCGGAUCGUUGGAAAUUGCAUUUUCCAAUUUCGAGAGUGCUUUGUCAUCUUUCGUUCUUCUUUUUCUUUUCAUUCUUCUCACGGACGUCGGUGAAGAAUGCGAAAAGUUAUGAGUUGAAGAGUGAAAUUGAGAAGUUUCGACGUGUUUUUCGAUGUAUAUAUAUAGUUUAUAAAGUUCAACGCAGGAUGAGAGAAUCUAUGGUCUUCGAUUUCCAAACGAACGAGACACGAGAAUCUAUGUAUUUUGUUUACCAACGUUGGAGAGGGGAGACGUGUGAAUCUACGUCUUUAGUUUUUAUUCCGUCGCGCGAUGUUUACUUUUCGAUUCUCUCCGGGGACGCCGAGGCUUACGGUUGUUCGACGAGCACGUUUCUUGAAGAAAGCGUGAUUCGAUGAAAGAGCAUGGAAUCCUGGAAUUUUGUGAAAUUGUGCGUUUGUAUAUACGAAUGCAUAAAUGAAGCAUUGUUUUGGAAAAAUUAAUGUCGUUUCAUUUGGUAAAUUCAUUGCAGACAAACGUUUGUUAAUGGUGUGUGGCAAGAGGGGAAAAUAAAAGAGCGGCGCAAUAUCAGGAAAUAUUUUUAACGUGCCAAUUAGAAUGAUAUUUACGAGAGCACGAUAUUAAAAAUGAAAUAAAGAUAUUUCAUUAUGUCGUAAAUAUAAUUACAUAUAUCUCACUUAUUGUUUAGGCUCAGUCUAAAUUCUAAUCUCUCGUGUAAAAUUAAAUAAAUUUUCUUUCAAUUCAAACUUUAAUUAUAAAAAUUGUUUUUAUACAUUUUUAUUAAAAAAUAUAUGAUAGAAAAUUAACAAGAAAAUCAUCGUCUAACCUCUACAUGAUUUCGAGCUAUUAAUUUAAAAUUUAUAAAAUUAAACGUAUCAUAUUCGAACCUAAUCUCUACACAUCCUUUGAAAAACAAAAUUUCAAAUUAUGAUUUUCAACGCUUUUCUUUUUUAGAAUGAGAAAAAGCACGGAGGAAAAGAGAAGACGACGAAAGAAUAGAUUCUUCUGGAAGAUUUUUCUUUUUUUAAAGAAAAAAAAAGGAACAAACAUCAAAUAAGUCUCAGUGGGGGAAAAAUUUUAAGAAACUUUCAUCGUUCUUUCUGAAUCUUGGCAGUUUAAGAAGAAUCCGUGGAAUUUCGCAGAGGAAAUUUCCGGCCACGAACUGCCUUCUCACCGGCAACUUUAAUGGUGGAUAAUAAGAGAAGGAAACGGAUUAGCGUAGUGGUCAUGUUCGUGAAUGACACGUGAUAAAUUCUGAUUUUCGUUUCGGCGAAACACGAGGGGUUAACGGUAUGGAACAUGGGGCAAAGUCUAUCCUCCAUCGGUGCACGUGAACGCAUUUUCAUCAAAUGCAAAACAUACGUUAUAUUCUGGUACCUUGUUAACAGGCCAACAACGCUAUUUUCCAACAUUUUCCUCCACUGGUUAUAUUGUAUACAACCAACAUGGCUGGAUCGAAACAGCACGAAUUCUUACACGAUGUUUUAGAAUCGAUCAGUAUAAUUAAAAAUAUCCUUAAAAUCUGUAUUGGGAUUUUUUGUAAUAGAAUAAGAAAAUAUCAUGCAAGCAUGAAGAAUUCGAGCUUUGUUCUAAUUCCAUCUAUUAAUUCAAGAAGUACUUUUUGAAAUUUAUCUUGUUGUAUGCUGACGACCAUUUUUAUCCAAAUAACAAAAGAACUCGAAUAACAAAGGAACAAUUUAAAUCCUCAAAAUUUGCGAGAAGAUUAUUAGUUAACGAAUAGAAAGUUUUAAAAAUAUUUUACGUAAUUGAUUAAAAGGAAAUCUUAUUUCCAGAAUCAUAAAACAACUUUCCUUAUAUAAAUUUUGCAACAAUAAAGCAUCUCUCUAAUAUCUUCAUUCCUUAUUUAACUAUGGGCGUAAUCCAACGUCUCUCGUUUCGUGAAAACGUAUUCCGCCAAAAUGAAGCCUAGUAAACUAUUCCCCUUCGUGAUAAACCCAGUCUUAGAAAAUAGCUACUGCAGGGAUCAGAAGCACACGUCCCAAGGAUAAUAAUUCCAAAGGAAUAAGGAUUAACAUCGUAUUAGCUCCUCUUAAAUAAACGAUAGCGCUUAAGACGUAUUCGAAACAAGCAAAAGUUAACUUUCAAAUCUAUAAUUGUUAUAGAUGAGUAAAAUUAUUAUAUUAUUAUCAUGAAAUUUUGACAAAUAUUUUGGAAGAAAUAUCGAAGAAAAUCAAUUAUUCUCAAUAAAGAAGAAACGAAGAAAAAUAUAUAAUUAGAAUAACAGGAAAAUAAUGAAAAAAGUAUGUGUAUAAAGUAUAUAUGCAAUAACUCCAACUUUGAUUCAUAUGUAACAAAGAUAUAUAAAUAAUAACUUCAAUCUGUCUCGUCCAGCGUGGCACAGCGUGAUAAAGGCGCAUACAUGAUAACUUCUCUCAUUUGCAUGCAAGAUAAACGUGAAAGAAAAUCAUAGAUUAACGUUGUAAAAGUGGAAAAUAUACGUUUUGAAUUAUUAAAAUUUAAAAUUUAAUCAAGUUUACAACAAAAUCCUGGCCACCCGGUUUCAAUAAAAAUGUUAAACUUCGUCUCUCGAUAAAACAACGUUCCCCCAUAAACCAUUCAGGUUCAAAAUCGCUUACCUACACGCCACCCCGCAUAAUAGAGGCGAGAGCAUAAAACUAAACCGAACGAAGUCACCGAAGUCGAGUGCACUCUGGCAAAGGAUACAUAUAGAAGGAUCCACCAUAUAUAUAUCCGCUCUAAGUUUGGAGGCUGAGCUGUGCAGGUGGAGGGCGGCACGAAGAUAGCUUAAAUUCAUUAACCGUCCCAUUGAAUCGGCAGCAGGAAGGCUUGCACCGCUCUUAACGCCAAUGGAAUUGUUAAUCCUCUGGUAGGUCAUCGCGAUCGAGCACGCAUGCGCAACACGCGCCAUCCUCCAUGUCGAUGUGUUAACGAUCGCAAUAACAAUUACCGUUUCAGUUAUGCCCUCCCUCGCUCCCCAUAUUGUUCCCGAGCGAUGAUUACUGAUUGCUUCCACGGGGUGAAAAUAUCGAAAUCCUACGAUUACCAGGCUUUCUUGCAACCCCCGUUUCCCUCCUCCCUCUCCCCGUGUAAAUUGUAAUCGGGGAUAUGCGCGCGCCGCAGAUCCGUGUGGAUCAUUCCAGAUACGUGAUACACCGUUAACACGUGACGUGGACCGCGUUAUGGAUUUCCAUGUGGCCGUAACGGGGAUGAAGAUAGCGUGUAUGGCCAGGCUGGAGCUGUUCUUUUACAUGGUAAUGCGUACAGCCCCGCUUGAUAAUUGUUGUUCUUUAUUCAAAAGUUCCUCUCGUGCAUUGUUUCUGUGAUAAUCUCUUACAAAAAAAUUUCUGGUAUCUAGAAAAUUCUUUCCUUCUUUUUUUUUUUGUUCUUUAGGAUGCAAGGUCUUUUUAAAUGUUAAUAUUCUGUUGUAUCUCGAAAAGAGAUGUAAAGAAAAGGUUCUUGGAAAAGAGAUUUAAUAAUUAAAUUGCGAAAGCGAAUGUUGAAAACACUGUUUUGUUAUUAUGAUAAUCGAAUAAUCUUUCAAUAAGAGGAGAAAUGAAAUAGAAAUUAAAUUAAACAAAAUUGAUACCGCGUUGUAAUCUCAAAACAAACGUUUUCCAAAAGUAUCAAAAUAAACGGGGGGUUAUUAACCAAAUUGCAAACAAUCCCUGUAGCAAAACAAGCAGAAACAGAUCCACGCGAAAAAUAAAAAUAAAGAAAAAAAAAAAGAGGGAAUACGAAACCCGAGUUUCAUUAAAAUAUCCGUACUUCCAAAUAUACGUACGGCCGCCACAAUCAUCCGCAAAACAAUACACACCACUUCCCCGUAAUUAAAAUUGCGGCCCUGCCCUACCAGAUAGCGGAACGCUCAUCAACGAGGCCAAUUUAUCGCCGGCGUUCAUUGAAAAUUCAAAUCGGCUUUUCGCUAAGCCCGUAAAAUCGUGGCAACUGUGCCGUCUUAUUAUUCAAAUCAUUAUUUACACCGAGGAAUCUCUUCCAACCGACUCGUAAAACUCGACGAUAUAAUAGUCGGAUCGGAGAGAAAUCCGUAACAGUCCCUGGAAAACUGGUUUCGCGAGCAUCGCAAUUUUAAGAGGGGAGGGAAUAUAGGCCGGCGCCAAUAAGCAUUUACAAUAAUACAUCCGGACGCGUUCGCUAUUCGGGGAGCAAUAUCUGGCCCUAUCUACAGUAUCAGAAUUAGGCAGAGCCUAGGAAACGGUAACUUUCAAUAUGGGACCGAAGCUCAAGUUUGCACAGAGGAUAAAGCUGUUGGGGCGUAACUGAUUCGAUGUAACUUGCCGUGAUGUAACGCAAUUUCCGAGCGGCGAAUUAUACGAAGCGUGGAACAAAGGACAGACUUGGAAACAGACAACGGUUGAUUCGGGGAGGGGAGGAGGCCAUUUCUGCCAUUGGAUUCUGGAUGGACCGACGAUAUUUUUAUUAAAAAAUUUUAUCCCGUAACGCGCGAAUGGAAAAAGAAGAUGGAAAGAGUUGCAGAGGCAUGAAAGAAUUAUAUUCAUUAUCGAAAUUUUUGUCGAACGGAACAUUAAUGGAAUCAAUUUGUAUUGUUUUUUCUCGAAAUUGAUAAGUUUUUGAAACAAUGACACAGGAGAUUGUAUAUAUUUGUUAUUCGAGAGACGAAAAUGAGCUUGAGUUUUUUAAAUGGAAAGGAAUGAAUAAAUUGUUUAAUUAAAUUUCAUAAUUGGAAGGUUGUACGUAAAACGCUAUCAGGAAUAUUAAAAGAGGCCAACGAUAUAUUAUUGUAAUAAAAAUUAAUUAUUAAUAAUAAUUAUGAAAGUAAUUUUUUAAUUUCGAGUUUCCUAAAAAGAAUAAAUUUUCUUUGAGUGUUCGGAAAUGCAGAAAAAAAAGCUUGAAGGAUACGAGGAAAAAAUUAUGGAAAAAGCUGUGCUACUUGGUAAACGAUAUACGUGUAUUGAAUAUCAAAACAUGAAAUGAAACGUGGAUGAUGAAAGUGCAUGUGGAAUUGUAUCUUAUGAAGAGCGAAAUGUAACUCGUCGUUGAUGAAGUCGAGAUCUAAGUACAGCUAACGAAGACGGAACGUAAUUUCGCUUUAUGAAAUGUUACUGUAUUUUAUGAAAACUUUAACCUAGUUCCCUCAUGUUCUACAUUAUACUUGAAACGGUAAAUAUAAAUUUGGAAAAAAAUAUCGACAUAACUUCAAAUUGUUUUCAACAAAAUUUAAUUUGA